GACGAACGCUGGCGGCGUGCUUAACACAUGCAAGUCGAGCGGUAAGGCCCUUUCGGGGGUACACGAGCGGCGAACGGGUGAGUAACACGUGGGUGACCUGCCCUCAGCUCUGGGAUAAGCCUGGGAAACCGGGUCUAAUACUGGAUAUGACUCCAUGACGCAUGCUGUGGGGUGGAAAGCCUUGUGCGGCUGAGGAUGGGCCCGCGGCCUAUCAGCUUGUUGGUGGGGGA
This 230-nucleotide ribosomal RNA is filed under the name uncultured bacterium. RNAcentral describes it as "partial 16S ribosomal RNA". It matches the Rfam family "Bacterial small subunit ribosomal RNA", at positions 28 to 259 of the family's 1533-position model. The record is from RNAcentral.